This is a long non-coding RNA of Dromaius novaehollandiae (emu), 194 nucleotides long. RefSeq lists it as uncharacterized. Lineage: Eukaryota; Metazoa; Chordata; Aves; Casuariiformes; Dromaiidae. The record is from RefSeq and is a predicted model, not a curated record. The transcript is spliced from 3 exons.
UGUUCAUCACCUUGGGCAAGCUGGCCAGCAGCUACGCCCUGCGGUGCGUCCCCUUCGUGGGCAUGACGCUCUUCGCCCUGCGCACGAUGCUGAGCCAGGUGGGGAGCAGCCGGACCCUGCGCGCCGUCUGCAGCGUCCUGGAGCAGUGGUCGAAGGCCGUGAACACCUACCUGGGCGCCUGGGAGCAAUGCAGC